Molecule: ribosomal RNA, 484 nt
Filed under: uncultured bacterium
Lineage: Bacteria
Description: partial 16S ribosomal RNA
Rfam family: Bacterial small subunit ribosomal RNA
Source: RNAcentral
AUUGAACGCUGGCGGCAUGCUUUACACAUGCAAGUCGAACGGCAGCGCGGGCUUCGGCCUGGCGGCGAGUGGCGAACGGGUGAGUAAUACAUCGGAACGUGCCCAGUAGUGGGGGAUAGCUCGGCGAAAGCCGGAUUAAUACCGCAUACGACCUGAGGGUGAAAGCGGGGGAUCUUCGGACCUCGCGCUAUUGGAGCGGCCGAUGGCAGAUUAGCUAGUUGGUAGGGUAAAGGCCUACCAAGGCGACGAUCUGUAGCUGGUCUGAGAGGACGACCAGCCACACUGGGACUGAGACACGGCCCAGACUCCUACGGGAGGCAGCAGUGGGGAAUUUUGGACAAUGGGCGAAAGCCUGAUCCAGCAAUGCCGCGUGUGUGAUGAAGGCCUUCGGGUUGUAAAGCACUUUUGGCGGGAACGAAAAGGACUGUGCCAAUACCACGGUUCGAUGACGGUACCCGCAGAAUAAGCACCGGCUAACUACGUG